RNAcentral lists this ribosomal RNA (1324 nucleotides) under metagenome. Its description in RNAcentral is "SSU rRNA". It matches the Rfam family "Eukaryotic small subunit ribosomal RNA", at positions 3 to 1332 of the family's 1831-position model. The record is from RNAcentral.
CCUGGUUGAUCCUGCCAGUGGUCAUAUGCUUGUCUCAAAGAUUAAGCCAUGCAUGUUUAAGCAGAAGCCGCACAACGGUAAAGCCGCGAAUGGCUCAUUACAACAGCCGUCGUUUCUUGGAUCUCUAAUUUUACUUGGAUAACUGAGGUAAUUCUAGAGCUAAUACACGCACUAAAGCUCUGACCUUACGGAACGAGCGCAUUUAUUAGAACAAAACCAAUCGGGUUUCGGCCCGUUCGUUGGUGACUCUGAAUAACUCUGCCGAUCGCACGGUCUCGCACCGGCGACGUAUCUUUCAAGUGUCUGCCUUAUCAACUUUCGAUGGUAGUUUAUGUGCCUACCAUGGUUGUAACGGGUAACGGAGAAUAAGGGUUCGACUCCGGAGAGGGAGCCUGAGAAACGGUUACCACAUCCAAGGAAGGCAGCAGGCGCGCAAAUUACCCACUCUCGGCACGAGGAGGUAGUGACGAAAAAUAACGAGACGGAUCUCUUUGAGGCCCGUUAUCGGAAUGAGAACAAUUCAAAUCCUUUAACGAGGAUCUAGCGGAGGGCAAGUCUGGUGCCAGCAGCCGCGGUAAUUCCAGCUCCGCAGGUGUAUAUCUAUGCUGCUGCGGUUAAAAAGCUCGUAGUUGGGUCUGCGUGCUCGGAACUGGUUGGCUCACUGAGUUCAAACUGGUCUCCGGCGCUUUAUUGGCUGGUUUUCCCUUGAUGCUCUUAACCGGGUGUCUUGGGUGGCUAGCACGUUUACUUUGAAAAAAUUAGAGUGCUCAAUACAGGCGUAAAGCCUUGAAUAGUGGUGCAUGGAAUAAUAGAAUAGGACCUCGGCUCUAUUUUGUUGGUUUUCGGAACGCGAGGUAAUGAUUAAGAGGGACAGACGGGGGCAUUCGUAUUGCGACGUUAGAGGUGAAAUUCUUGGAUCGUCGCAAGACGGACGACUGCGAAAGCAUUUGCCAAGAAUGUUUUCAUUAAUCAAGAACGAAAGUUAGAGGUUCGAAGGCGAUCAGAUACCGCCCUAGUUCUAACCGUAAACGAUGCCAACUAGCGAUUCGCAGGCGUUAAACAACGACCUUGCGGGCAGCUUCCCGGAAACGAAAGUGUUCGGGUUCCGGGGGAAGUAUGGUUGCAAAGCUGAAACUUAAAGGAAUUGACGGAAGGGCACCACCAGGAGUGGAGCCUGCGGCUUAAUUUGACCCAACACGGGAAAACUCACCCGGCCCGGACACCGUAAGGAUUGACAGAUUGAGAGCUCUUUCUUGAUUCGGUGGGUGGUGGUGCAUGGCCGUUCUUAGUUGGUGGAGCGAUUUGUCUGGUUUAUUCCGAUAAC